CUCCUGUGACCUGUUUCUGUCUUGCUGGUUUUUUGUGGAUAUCUUUUUUCUUUUUUUUCUUUUCUUUUCUUUUCUUUCUUAAGUUUAUUUAAGUAUUUUGAGAGAGAGCGCGCGCCCAAGUGGGGAAGAGGCAGAGAGAGAAAUCCCAAGCAGGUUCUGCACUGACCCCUGCCCCCACCCCCUCGGGAGCCCAAAUCAGGACCUCACAAACCAUGAGAUCAUGACCUGAGCAGAAGUAGGACUCUAAACCGACCUGAGCCACUCAGGCGCCCCUCAGUGUGGCUUUCUUUUAAUUUAUUCUAUUUGAGAUUCCUUGAAAUUCUUGGACCUGGUCCUUGGAGCCUUCCCAUUGUUUUGGAAAUUCUGUUAUUCUCUCUUCAAAAAAUUCCAUUUGUUUCAGCCUCAACACAGGCAGCAGAGAAAAGGAUUGGAAAUGCUGACAUGUUGCCUGGUUCCCUCAAAUAAUAAUAUGAUGAUGAUGAUUUUGUAAGAGCCAACGCCAUCAACGUUGUUGGAGCGGGUUCUCAGGUAAGCUGUCCGGUAAGUCCUAUAAUGUCAUCACUUCUCACAGUACAGUGAGGACAGUACUAUUAUCACUCCUAUAUUAUAAAUGGAGAAACUGAGGCAGAGACAUGUACUGACUUGCUCGUGGUCACAUGACUAGUCGUCGAGGAGCUCUGUGAAGCCACCCUCUUGUCUAGCUUCCUCCCUGAAGGAGAAGCCAGAACAAGGGCUUGCAGCUCAAGAGCAGGGGGAAAAGGUUACGAACAAGGGAUCUUGGAGGGGGAUUCGGGCAUCCCCACUCAGAAGCCAGGUGGCUUGGGACAGGUAACAUCACUCUCUAUCACUUUCUCUCAUUUUAUUUAUUUUUAAUGUUUUAUUUAUUUUUGAGAGAGAGAAAGACAGUGUGAGCAGGGGAGGGUCAGAGACAGAGGGAGACACAGAAUCUGAAGCAGGCUCCAAGCUCCGAGUUAGCUGUCAGCACAGAGCCCGAUGCGGGGCUUGAACCCACGAACCAUGAGAUCAUGACCCGAGCCAAAGUCGGAUGCCCAACUGACUGAGCCACCCAGGCGCCCCACUUUCUCCCAUUUUAAAUUGGGGCAGAGGGUCAUUAUGAUGGGAUACACAGACCAGCACACU
This 1140-nucleotide long non-coding RNA is filed under the name Suricata suricatta (meerkat). RNAcentral describes it as "lncRNA (ENSSSUG00005018454.1)". The record is from RNAcentral. Lineage: Eukaryota; Metazoa; Chordata; Mammalia; Carnivora; Herpestidae.